CCUACGGGUGGCAGCAGUGGGGAAUAUUGGACAAUGGGCGAAAGCCUGAUCCAGCCAUGCCGCGUGUGUGAAGAAGGCCUUCGGGUUGUAAAGCACUUUCAGUGGGGAAGAAAGCCUUGUGGCUAAUACCCUCGAGGAAGGACAUCACCCACAGAAGAAGCACCGGCUAACUCCGUGCCAGCAGCCGCGGUAAUACGGAGGGUGCGAGCGUUAAUCGGAAUUACUGGGCGUAAAGCGCGCGUAGGCGGUCUGAUAAGCCGGUUGUGAAAGCCCCGGGCUCAACCUGGGAACUGCAUCCGGAACUGUCAGGCUAGAGUGCAGGAGAGGAAGGUAGAAUUCCCGGUGUAGCGGUGAAAUGCGUAGAGAUCGGGAGGAAUACCAGUGGCGAAGGCGGCCUUCUGGACUGACACUGACGCUGAGGUGCGAAAGCGUGGGUAGCAAACAGGAUUAGAUACCCCUGUAGUC
RNAcentral lists this ribosomal RNA (465 nucleotides) under Vreelandella stevensii. RNAcentral describes it as "partial 16S ribosomal RNA". It matches the Rfam family "Bacterial small subunit ribosomal RNA", at positions 338 to 795 of the family's 1533-position model. Lineage: Bacteria; Pseudomonadati; Pseudomonadota; Gammaproteobacteria; Oceanospirillales; Halomonadaceae. The record is from RNAcentral.